This is an RNA transcript of Rhineura floridana, 2363 nucleotides long. It is a transcript of the gene named UBX domain protein 1, with no coding region annotated. NCBI's taxonomy places the organism in Eukaryota, Metazoa, Chordata, Lepidosauria, Squamata, Rhineuridae. The record is from RefSeq and is a predicted model, not a curated record. The transcript is spliced from 11 exons.
GUUCCUUCAAGCUCUAUGGAGGCGGGAGGAAAGAGUUUGUGGGCAGCGGUGGUGGCUCAGCCGAGUGUCAUGGAGAGUACGGCGCUGGAGAGCCUCAUUGAGAUGGGCUUCCCCCAGAACAGAGCAGAGAAGGCCCUAGCGCUGACCGGGAACCAGGGCAUCGAAUCGGCCAUGGACUGGCUCAUGGAGCACGAAAACGACCCUGACCUGGACGAGCCGUACGUACCCCCCCAGGGCCACGAUCUCAGCACAGAGGAGCCCCCAGAGGGAAGGACGGCAGAGUCAGUGCAAAGCCAAUCAGAUUCUACAUUAGAGGAGCUGACGGAGGAAGACAACCGACGCCCCCUGAGUGAGGAAGAGAAACGAGAGCAGACAAAGAGGAUGCUGGAGCUGAUCACUCAGAAGCAGCGGGAGCGCGAAGAGCGGGAGAAGCGGGAGAGCAUUGAGCGGGAGAAGCAACGCCGGAAGCAGGGCCAGGAGCUCUCCCUCAUCCGCCAGAAGCUGCAAGAGGACGAGAUGAAGAAGCUGGCGGAUGAGCGGCGCAAGGAGAAGCUGGAGGAGAAGUUGGCCAAGCAACGGGUGCGAGAGAAGAUCGAACGAGACAAGGCCGAGAGAGCCAAGAAGGUGAGCGACGUGACAGAGGCUAGGAAAAGGGGGCGGCACUCGUUUGGCGGCGGUUGCAGCAGUUCUUCCCAGCCGGCAGCUCCCACACCAGUCCCCUCGUCGCCCAGCCAGGAGCCCCCCCUCAAGCGAGAGUAUGAUCAGUGCAGGAUACAGGUGAGACUGCUGGAUGGCACGUCGCUCACGCAGACAUUCAGAGCCAAAGAGCAGCUGGCCGCUGUCCGUCUCUACGUGGAGCUGAACCGCAAGGACAGUGGCGAGGAGCCUUUCCAGCUCCUCACCAGCUUCCCCCGGCGUGUCUUCACCGAGGAAGACAUGGAGAAGCCCUUGCAGGAGUUGGGUUUGGUGCCUUCUGCCGUGUUGAUCGUGGCUAAGAAGGGCAACAGCUGAAAAGCUCUUUCUGUGCGCCACUCUCUCACACCUUGCUCUCGGCCCCUCCUUCCCUUGCUGCUGUUAAAGAUUCUUCCCCCCUCCCCCCAUUGUAGAGGUGGAAGAGGAGGGCGAUUACUGUGGCUCCUAAAUCACUUUCAUACCCUUUGAGAAAGAAAGUCAUUGCACCUAUGGCCGAAGAUAGAGUCUUGGUUGGAUCAGACAAAAGGGCCUUUUCAUCCAGAAGCUUGCUUCCCUAAGCAGCUGUCCAAAUGUCUCUGGGAAGCUCCCCGGCAGCCCCCAAAGGCAGCAAGCUCAUUCCUGCUGUUGCUCCUCAGCAACUGAUACUCAAAGAUAGGCUGCCUCUGAAUAUGGAGGCUCUAUAUAGCCAAUGACAAACCACUUCUAACUUCCCCUUUAAAGCUAUUGAAACUAGCUGCCAUCCCCUCUCUUGUAGGAGAUGCAUUUCAUAAAGUGCGUUGUGAAGAAAGCCAGGAGCUCUCUCUCCCCGCCACCCCCCACCCCCCUUUGCAUGCUGCUGCCCUGGAGACUGAAGACCCAACAAAAGUCUUUUGUGUGAAGCUUAUAGCCACUGAUGCAGCUACAGAGCUUGGUUUAUUUAGAGCAAAAUCAGUUAACAUUUACAUAGCAUAGAUAGGUGGUGGGUUUUUUUUUUAUGCAGAAGGGUUGUAGAUUUUCUCCCCUCCCCAAUAUGACAUCCAGCAUAGGCUCUCCUGACGAUCUCAGCAAUAAAAAAAUGCACACAGCAUUAAUAUCUAUGCAGAGGGGAAGACUGGUGUGGUGGCUGCUUUGCAUCUAAGCCAACCUGCAGCAGACAUUGCUAACAAGGCCACAGGAUUUGCCCCUGUUCUGUCUUCCUGGCUGAAGUCUGAAAUGAUGCUGGAUCUGGAAAUGGAGGGGGGGCAGUCAGUAAAGGGGCGCUGCUGGUCACGUCUCUUUCUUUGAUUCGCCAGGUGGCCUUGUGAGCACGGCAAGACCCCCACAGAAGAGACCUGGGGAGAGAGAAGAUAUUAGCAGCAGACACGCACUCUUCUAAAGAGAGUAAAGAAGUUCCCUCCCUCCCUCCCUCCCUGUCUAAUGCCAAAUGCAAGUGAUGAGUGCCAACAGCUAUAUAGCCAAAACAGGGCUGCUGAGAAACCAAGGAGGAGGAAGCUGCAAGCUCAAACCACGGAGCCUGCAGAGGCAGUAAAAACCUUUUUAAGAAUUGUUAUGAGAAUAACAUGGCGGAUACAGAAUAUCUGUUGUAAGAUGGAAGUGCUAAGUCAUAAUAAUAGAUAACUUUCAAGGAGAUGUCAAGCUGUACUAUUACAAAGGAAUUAACCCUUAACAAUAAAAACCACAGUGCCAAACCA